GUGUGUGUCUGUGUGUGUGUUUGUGUGUUUCUGCUCUUUUGUCGUCUGUGUGAAAAUAAAACCUCUGACCUGUGGAGCGAUGCGGCUCACGAUGUCCGAGAUGUUCACGACGGCGACUCGGCGUCCGCGCUUCCCUAGGCGCUGUGGUGAGGGUGAGGUCGUGUCCCAGACGAUGUCCUGAAAGUCGGGCUGGAUCGUUAUGAGGAGAUUCUGUGGUGAAGCUGAGCCUGGACUGAGUCGGCGUCUGGACCGGGGUCUCCUGCCCUGAAACACAAACCACACUUUAUUUACACAAGGCAGAGGCGGGUGGUACUCGCCCGACUCAUGUAACUAGUCACUCA
This is a long non-coding RNA of Neogobius melanostomus (round goby), 341 nucleotides long. NCBI's taxonomy places the organism in Eukaryota, Metazoa, Chordata, Actinopteri, Gobiiformes, Gobiidae. The record is from Ensembl.